This 1113-nucleotide ribosomal RNA is filed under the name Pseudoalteromonas ulvae. RNAcentral's name for it is "bacterial SSU rRNA". It matches the Rfam family "Bacterial small subunit ribosomal RNA", at positions 1 to 1010 of the family's 1533-position model. The record is from RNAcentral. Lineage: Bacteria; Pseudomonadati; Pseudomonadota; Gammaproteobacteria; Alteromonadales; Pseudoalteromonadaceae.
UACGUUCCGGCUUUUACACCCCCCCGGGAUUUGUUUUUAUGGCAUCGUUUUUGAAAUACUAGUUCUAGCGACCCCGACUUUCAAGGAAGCCGAGGUUAACCCCCCGAUAGAGUUUUGAUCAUGGCUCAGAUUGAACGCUGGCGGCAGGCCUAACACAUGCAAGUCGAGCGGUAACAUUUCUAGCUUGCUAGAAGAUGACGAGCGGCGGACGGGUGAGUAAUGCUUGGGAACAUGCCUUUAGGUGGGGGACAACAGUUGGAAACGACUGCUAAUACCGCAUAAUGUCUACGGACCAAAGGGGGCUUCGGCUCUCGCCUUUAGAUUGGCCCAAGUGGGAUUAGCUAGUUGGUGAGGUAACGGCUCACCAAGGCGACGAUCCCUAGCUGGUUUGAGAGGAUGAUCAGCCACACUGGAACUGAGACACGGUCCAGACUCCUACGGGAGGCAGCAGUGGGGAAUAUUGCACAAUGGGCGCAAGCCUGAUGCAGCCAUGCCGCGUGUGUGAAGAAGGCCUUCGGGUUGUAAAGCACUUUCAGUAAGGAGGAAAGGUUGGUGGUUAAUACCCAUCAGCUGUGACGUUACUUACAGAAGAAGCACCGGCUAACUCCGUGCCAGCAGCCGCGGUAAUACGGAGGGUGCGAGCGUUAAUCGGAAUUACUGGGCGUAAAGCGUACGCAGGCGGUUGAUUAAGCGAGAUGUGAAAGCCCCGGGCUCAACCUGGGAACUGCAUUUCGAACUGGUCAACUAGAGUGUGAUAGAGGGUGGUAGAAUUUCAGGUGUAGCGGUGAAAUGCGUAGAGAUCUGAAGGAAUACCGAUGGCGAAGGCAGCCACCUGGGUCAACACUGACGCUCAUGUACGAAAGCGUGGGGAGCAAACAGGAUUAGAUACCCUGGUAGUCCACGCCGUAAACGAUGUCUACUAGAAGCUGGGGUCCUCGGACAACUUUUUCAAAGCUAACGCAUUAAGUAGACCGCCUGGGGAGUACGGCCGCAAGGUUAAAACUCAAAUGAAUUGACGGGGGCCCGCACAAGCGGUGGAGCAUGUGGUUUAAUUCGAUGCAACGCGAAGAACCUUACCUACACUUGACAUCCAGAGAAAUCGCUAGAGAUAGC